GAUCAUGGCUCAGGAUGAACGCUAGCUACAGGCUUAACACAUGCAAGUCGAGGGGCAGCAUGAUUGAAGCUUGCUUCAAUUGAUGGCGACCGGCGCACGGGUGAGUAACACGUAUCCAACCUGCCGAUAACUCGGGGAUAGCCUUUCGAAAGAAAGAUUAAUACCCGAUAGUAUAGUGUUUCCGCAUGGUUUCACUAUUAAAGAAUUUCGGUUAUCGAUGGGGAUGCGUUCCAUUAG
This 237-nucleotide ribosomal RNA is filed under the name uncultured bacterium. RNAcentral's name for it is "partial 16S ribosomal RNA". It matches the Rfam family "Bacterial small subunit ribosomal RNA", at positions 15 to 244 of the family's 1533-position model. The record is from RNAcentral.